GCGCGUGCCUAAUACAUGCAAGUCAAGCGGACAGAAGGGAGCUUGCUCCCGGAUUGUUAGCGGCGGACGGGUGAUGUAACACGUGGGUAACCUGCCUGUAAGACUGGGAUAACUCCGGGAAACCGGAGCUAUACCGGAUAGUUCCUUGAACCGCAUGGUUCAAGGAUGAAAGACGGUUCGGCUGUCACUUACAGAUGGACCCGCGGCGCAUUAGCUAGUUGGUGAGGUAACGGCUCACCAAGGCGACGAUGCGUAGCCGACCUGAGAGGGUGAUCGGCCACACUGGGACUGAGACACGGCCCAGACUCCUACGGGAGGCAGCAGUUAGGGAAUCUUCCGCAAUGGACGAAAGUCUGACGGAGCAACGCCGCGUGAGUGAUGAAGGUUUUCGGAUCGUAAAGCUCUGUUGUUAGGGAAGAACAAGUGCAAGAGUAACUGCUGCACCUUGACGGUACU
Molecule: ribosomal RNA, 456 nt
Filed under: Bacillus sp. 7BR8
Lineage: Bacteria; Bacillati; Bacillota; Bacilli; Caryophanales; Bacillaceae
Description: bacterial SSU rRNA
Rfam family: Bacterial small subunit ribosomal RNA
Source: RNAcentral